This 826-nucleotide ribosomal RNA is filed under the name Triticum aestivum (bread wheat). RNAcentral describes it as "partial small subunit ribosomal RNA". Lineage: Eukaryota; Viridiplantae; Streptophyta; Magnoliopsida; Poales; Poaceae. The record is from RNAcentral.
ACUCACUAUUAGAACGUGGCGCACGAGGUUAAGUCCCCUCCACUUAGUAACAGUACAACUACUAUCUAGGUAGAUAGGUUCCUAGGAAAACCGUACAUGAGUAUAUGGUUCUCGGAUACGCUAAAGAGACGUGUUUUUGGUUAGUUAGACUGGUUUAAUUAUACUACUUACGACGGUUAACAAACUUGGAGACGUCUUUUAAGAAAAAACGGGACUGGGCGAGCUAGGUUUGUAAAAUGACGUUAGGAAAGUAGUGGUUUAACUGGGAACUUUUGUCUGGGUUUAGGAGGAAGGGGCUCGAACAGACGCUUAACGAGCCAACGACGAAAAUCGACGACUUUACACUUGGAGUAACCACAAGGAACAUCGAGGGGUUUGAGAAGGAGGUAGAGGUAGAGUAUAACAACAACACAAGAAGCAAAUGCAUAUUUUAUCCACGGCUCCUUGUUCUACGAUUCGUUUUACUUCGGUUGAUAUCCUGGAUUUUAACGAUGUUGAGAAGAAUGUCUCCUCCUAAAGUGAAAGUACGAACAACAGGGUUAUCCACGUCCGUCUCGUGAGCCCGGCAUCCAUAAUGGAACCCGCCCCCGCGUCCGACUCGUGAACCCCAGUAUCCACAAUGGAACCGGCCCCCACGUCCGUUCCCGGAUCGUCGACAUCCGCUAUAACCCGCUAUCGGGCACCAUGGUGGCUAUUGCCAAGCUAACUAGCACCAUGGUGGCCGUUACCUCGGUACCUUACAUAAGCGGCACUACCAUCGUUAUCCCUUCUCCUCCUCCUCCUCCUCUCCGGUCUCCACCUCUCGGCUGCUCCAUGAGUGACGACG